This 422-nucleotide ribosomal RNA is filed under the name uncultured bacterium. RNAcentral's name for it is "partial 16S ribosomal RNA". It matches the Rfam family "Bacterial small subunit ribosomal RNA", at positions 359 to 773 of the family's 1533-position model. The record is from RNAcentral.
GAAUCUUCCACAAUGGACAAAAGUCUGAUGGAGCAAUGCCGCGUGGGUGAAGAAGGUUUUCGGAUCGUAAAACUCUGUUGUGAGGGAAGAACAAGUACGUGAGUAACUGCUCGUACCUUGACGGUACCUCAUUAGAAAGCCACGGCUAACUACGUGCCCGCCGCCGCGGUAAUACGUAGGUGGCAAGCGUUGUCCGGAAUUAGUGGGCGUAAAGCGCGCGCAGGCGGUCCUUUAAGUCUGAUGUGAAAGCCCACGGCUCAACCGUGGAGGGUCAUUGGAAACUGGGGGACUUGAGUACAGAAGAGGAAAGCGGAAUUCCACGUGUAGCGGUGAAAUGCGUAGAGAUGUGGAGGAACACCAGUGGCGAAGGCGGCUUUCUGGUCUGUAACUGACGCUGAGGCGCGAAAGCGUGGGGAGCAAAC